AGGUCAGGCGGGACUACCCGCUGAGUUUAAGCAUAUCAAUAGCCGGAAGGAA
Molecule: ribosomal RNA, 52 nt
Filed under: Pterocaulon pycnostachyum
Lineage: Eukaryota; Viridiplantae; Streptophyta; Magnoliopsida; Asterales; Asteraceae
Description: partial 28S ribosomal RNA
Source: RNAcentral